UACGUAGGUGGCAAGCGUUGUCCGGAUUUACUGGGUGUAAAGGGCGUGUAGCCGGGCUUACAAGGCAGAUGUGAAAUCCGGGGGCUCAACCCCCGAACUGCAUUUGAAACUGUAGGUCUUGAGUAUCGGAGAGGCAGGCGGAAUUCCUAGUGUAGCGGUGAAAUGCGUAGAUAUUAGGAGGAACACCAGUGGCGAAGGCGGCCUACUGGACGGUGACUGACGCUGAGGCUCGAAAGCGUGGGGAGCAAACAGG
This 253-nucleotide ribosomal RNA is filed under the name uncultured bacterium. Its description in RNAcentral is "partial 16S ribosomal RNA". It matches the Rfam family "Bacterial small subunit ribosomal RNA", at positions 524 to 776 of the family's 1533-position model. The record is from RNAcentral.